GAUGAACGCUAGCUACAGGCUUAACACAUGCAAGUCGAGGGGUAACGAGAGGGAAGCUUGCUUUCCUUGUCGACGACCGGCGCACGGGUGAGUAACGCGUAUCCAACCUGCCCCCAACUAAGGAAUAACCUUGCGAAAGUAAGACUAAUACCCUAUAAUUUCCUCAGAUGACAUCUGACGAGGAAUAAAGAUUUAUCGGUUGUGGAUGGGGAUGCGUCUGAUUAGCUUGUUGGCGGGGUAACGGCACACCAAGGCAACGAUCAGUAGGGGUUCUGAGAGGAAGGUCCCCCACAUUGGAACUGAGACACGGUCCAAACUCCGACGGGAGGCAGCAGUGAGGAGUAUUGGUCAAUGGGCGGAAGCCUGAACCAGCCAAGUAGCGUGCAGGAUGACGGCCCUAUGGGUUGUAAACUGCUUUUAUACAGGAAUAAAGUUAGCCACGUGUGGUUAUUUGUAGGUACUGUAUGAAUAAGGACCGGCUAAUUCCGUGCCAGCCGCCGCCGUAA
Molecule: ribosomal RNA, 506 nt
Filed under: uncultured bacterium
Lineage: Bacteria
Description: partial 16S ribosomal RNA
Rfam family: Bacterial small subunit ribosomal RNA
Source: RNAcentral